RNAcentral lists this long non-coding RNA (857 nucleotides) under Oryctolagus cuniculus (rabbit). RNAcentral describes it as "lncRNA (ENSOCUG00000030162.1)". The record is from RNAcentral. Lineage: Eukaryota; Metazoa; Chordata; Mammalia; Lagomorpha; Leporidae.
GCUAAAUUUAUUCUCCAAAAUAAAAGAAAUAGCACUUUUCUUAGUCUGCGGCUCUUAAACCAAAUUCACCAUUUACAAGGUAGCAUCCAGGAAAAACUUCCCCCAGAUUACCAUAAAGUGAUUCGGUUCUUAAAGACAAAAGUCCCAGUUCUCACGGUCUUUUCUCCUCAAGGCUGAGCAACCAGAAUGCUGUGAGUGAGGUUUUCCUAGGAGGACAAUCCCACGUCCCUUCUCCCGGAGUUGUCUCUCCCAGUUAGUGACGAGCCGUGAAGAAUGGUCCCUUCACUGCCAAGGACCACAUCACAUUCAAUCAUUGUCAAAGAACUGUCAGGUCGCCUGCCAAGGAGCAUCGGAAAGGCCACGGCCAAGGACCAGCCAGGAAGCUGGGAAGGAUGGGGGCUCGCACCGGCUGCAGAAAACCCAGGGACGGAUUUCAACAGAGGUCGGCAGAGGAGCCUGAGGGGUAUGCUGGUUUUACAUGAUUACCAUCAGGCUUAAAAGAGACACCAUGGAAGUAAGGAUUAUGAGACCAUCAUGAGCAGUAAUAUGAAAACAAAUUGGAUAACCUAGACUGGAAGAAUUCCAAAGACAUGCACAUUACCAAGACUGAAGCAUGAAGUGAAACAUCUGAACACAUCAAUGAGAUUGAUUGUAAUAACUAUUUCACAACAAAGAUUACUCUAGAUGGGUUCACUGGUACAUUGUGCAAAACACUUGAAGGAAUAACACCAAUGCUUAUCAAAUUCUCCCCAAAGAAUUAAGAGGAAGAAUGUUCCCAAACUCAUUUUAUAAGACUAGCAUUGCCCUGAUAUCAAAGCCAAAGACAAUAUAAGAAAUAAAUUGUAGACCAAUACCCA